UAAGGUCAAGUUAUUAAGGGUAUAAGGUGAAUGCCUUGGGUCCAAAAGCCGAAGAAGGGCGUGGCAAGACUGCGAUAUGCCUCGGUUAGUUGUCUAGCAAACUUAGCCGUGGAUUCCCGAAUAGGAAAACCAAGCUUUUACUAAAGCUAUUUUAAAUUUAUUUAAAAUGGGAACGGAGUGAACUGAAACAUCUAAGUAACUCCAGGAAAAGAAAUCAAAUGAGAUUCUCUGAGUAGCGGCGAGCGAAAUGAGAAUAGCCCAAACCUUUUUGACUUAGUGGAUUGGAGUCCUAUGUCAUAAAGGUGUUGUAACAUCUACUUAUCUCAUCUCCAAAGUGAGAAAAAUAGUUACAAAAAUAAAAGCUAGCUGAAUGAAUCUGGAAAGAACAACCAUAGAAAGUGAUAGUCUUGUAAGCGAAAGUUUUUAUUCUAUUAGUAGAUUGUUGAGUAGAGCGGGACACGUGAAAUCCUGCCUGAAUCUGGGGGGACCAUCCUCCAAGGCUAAAUACUUUUGGACACCGAUAGUGAACUAGUACCGUGAGGGAAAGGUGAAAAGAACCCCGGGAGGGGAGUGAAAUAGACCUGA
RNAcentral lists this ribosomal RNA (585 nucleotides) under SAR202 cluster bacterium. RNAcentral's name for it is "partial 23S ribosomal RNA". It matches the Rfam family "Bacterial large subunit ribosomal RNA", at positions 1 to 553 of the family's 2925-position model. The record is from RNAcentral. Lineage: Bacteria; Bacillati; Chloroflexota; Dehalococcoidia.